RNAcentral lists this ribosomal RNA (373 nucleotides) under uncultured eukaryote. Its description in RNAcentral is "partial 18S ribosomal RNA". It matches the Rfam family "Eukaryotic small subunit ribosomal RNA", at positions 592 to 976 of the family's 1831-position model. The record is from RNAcentral.
CAAUAGCGUAUAUUAAAGUUGUUGCAGUUAAAAAGCUCGUAGUUGAAUUUUUGCUUGCCGCCGAUGUCGGAACUUCCGUACGUUCGGCGGCGUGCAUCCUUGGGUGGAACCUGUGUGGCAUUAGGUUGUCGUGCAGGGGAUGCUCAUCGUUUACUGUGAAAAAAUUAGAGUGUUCAAAGCAGGCUUACGCCGUUGAAUAUAUUAGCAUGGAAUAAUAAGAUAGGACCUUGGUACUAUUUUGUUGGUUUGCGCACCGAGGUAAUGAUUAACAGGGACAGUUGGGGGUAUUCGUAUUCCAUUGUCAGAGGUGAAAUUCUUGGAUUUCUGGAAGACGAACUACUACGAAAGCAUUUACCAAGGAUGUUUUCAUUAA